RNAcentral lists this ribosomal RNA (365 nucleotides) under uncultured bacterium. Its description in RNAcentral is "partial 16S ribosomal RNA". It matches the Rfam family "Bacterial small subunit ribosomal RNA", at positions 338 to 700 of the family's 1533-position model. The record is from RNAcentral.
CCUACGGGUGGCAGCAGUGAGGAAUAUUGGUCAAUGGACGAGAGUCUGAACCAGCCAAGUAGCGUGAAGGAUGACUGCCCUAUGGGUUGUAAACUUCAUUUAUAAAGGAAUAAAACGAGGCACGUGUGCAUUAUUGCAUGUACUAUAUGAAUAAGGAACGGCUAACUCCGUGCCAGCAGCAGCGGUAAUACGGAGGAUCCGAGCGUUAUCCGGCUUUAUUGGGUUUAAAGGGAGCGUAGAGGGGUUGUUAAGUCAGUUGUGAAAGUUUGCGGCUCAACCGUAAAAUUGCACUUGAUACUGGCAGUCUUGCUUACAGUUGAGGUCGGCGGACUUCGUGGUGUAGCGGUGACAUGCUUAGCUCUCAC